RNAcentral lists this ribosomal RNA (246 nucleotides) under uncultured Actinomycetes bacterium. RNAcentral's name for it is "uncultured actinobacterium partial 16S ribosomal RNA". It matches the Rfam family "Bacterial small subunit ribosomal RNA", at positions 28 to 276 of the family's 1533-position model. The record is from RNAcentral. Lineage: Bacteria; Bacillati; Actinomycetota; Actinomycetes.
GACGAACGCUGGCGGCGUGCUUAACACAUGCAAGUCGAGCGGUAAGGCCCUUUCGGGGGUACACGAGCGGCGAACGGGUGAGUAACACGUGGGUGACCUGCCUUUAGCUCUGGGAUAAGCCUGGGAAACUGGGUCUAAUACCGGGUAUGACUCCGCGGUGCAUGCUGUGGGUGGAAAGCCUUGUGCGGCUGGAGAUGGGCCCGCGGCCUAUCAGCUUGUUGGUGGGGUGAUGGCCUACCAAGGCGA